RNAcentral lists this ribosomal RNA (256 nucleotides) under uncultured prokaryote. RNAcentral's name for it is "partial 16S ribosomal RNA". It matches the Rfam family "Bacterial small subunit ribosomal RNA", at positions 521 to 776 of the family's 1533-position model. The record is from RNAcentral.
UAAUACGAAGGGUGCAAGCGUUACUCGGAAUUACUGGGCGUAAAGCGUGCGUAGGCGGUUUGUUAAGUCUGUCGUGAAAGCCCCGGGCUCAACCUGGGAAUGGCGAUGGAUACUGGCGAGCUAGAGUACGGUAGAGGAGAGUGGAAUUCCCGGUGUAGCAGUGAAAUGCGUAGAGAUCGGGAGGAACAUCAGUUGCGAAGGCGGCUCUCUGGACCAGUGCUGACGCUGAGGCACGAAGGCGUGGGGAGCAAACAGG